RNAcentral lists this ribosomal RNA (422 nucleotides) under uncultured prokaryote. RNAcentral's name for it is "bacterial SSU rRNA". It matches the Rfam family "Bacterial small subunit ribosomal RNA", at positions 338 to 774 of the family's 1533-position model. The record is from RNAcentral.
CCUACGGGCGGCAGCAAUUAGGAAUCUUGCGCAAUGGGCGAAAGCCUGACGCAGCGACGCCGCGUGACUGAUGAAGUCUCUCGGGAUGUAAAGGUCUUUUCUGAAGGAAGAAAAAAAUGACGGUACUUCAGGAAUAAGCCCCGGCUAACUACGUGCCAGCAGCCGCGGUAAUACGUAGGGGGCGAGCGUUGUCCGAAUUUACUGGGCGUAAAGUGCGCGUAGGCGGACUAUUAAGUUGGUGGUGAAAUCCCGAGGCUCAACCUCGGAACUGCCUCGAAAACUGUUAGUCUUGAGGUAUGGAGAGGAAAGUGGAAUUCCGGGUGUAGCGGUGAAAUGCGUAGAUAUCGGGAGGAACACCCAUGGCGAAGGCAGCUUUCUGGCCAUAUUCUGACGCUGAGGUGCGAAAGCUAGGGUAGCGAACG